GGAUGCGAUCAUACCAGCACUAAAGCACCGGAUCCCAUCAGAACUCCGAAGUUAAGCGUGCUUGGGCGAGAGUAGUACUAGGAUCGGUGAACUCCUAGGAAGUCCUCGUGUUGCAUUCC
RNAcentral lists this ribosomal RNA (119 nucleotides) under Triticum aestivum (bread wheat). The record is from RNAcentral. Lineage: Eukaryota; Viridiplantae; Streptophyta; Magnoliopsida; Poales; Poaceae.